UGUGACAAAGCAAAAAUACGAUUGACGACCGUAUACAUAUACAUAGAUAAGGGAUCUUGUAGUAAUCGUAAAAUUUUUUCGUAUAACACUGAAUAUCCUCGUGAUUACAACUUGACACAUUUUCCGUGUCGAUAAAAUGAUUUAUUGACAAACAAUGAUGAAAACAAAAUUAAGAGAUCAGAAAACAGGGAGGUAUCAUGGGUUGGAUAAAUAAAUCAAAUAAUAAUAUUUUGGUGUAAAAUUCUGUAAUUAUCUUGUCAAGAACAAAUUACAUGAUUUCGCAUACUUA
Ceratina calcarata is the source of this 289-nucleotide long non-coding RNA. RefSeq lists it as uncharacterized. The record is from RefSeq and is a predicted model, not a curated record. The transcript has 2 exons. NCBI's taxonomy places the organism in Eukaryota, Metazoa, Arthropoda, Insecta, Hymenoptera, Apidae.